GUCUACGGCCAUACCACCCUGAAUGCUCCUGAUCUCGGAAGCUAAGCAGGGUCAGGCCUGGUUAGUACUUGGAUGGGAGAAAUAGCUUAGACAAGAAUUGCUUCCAUGUAAUGAAUUGGAGGAAGUGAUAGAUC
This 134-nucleotide ribosomal RNA is filed under the name Dipodomys ordii (Ord's kangaroo rat). Lineage: Eukaryota; Metazoa; Chordata; Mammalia; Rodentia; Heteromyidae. The record is from RNAcentral.